RNAcentral lists this ribosomal RNA (1368 nucleotides) under metagenome. RNAcentral describes it as "bacterial SSU rRNA". It matches the Rfam family "Bacterial small subunit ribosomal RNA", at positions 8 to 1375 of the family's 1533-position model. The record is from RNAcentral.
AGAGUUUGAUCCUGGCUCAGGAUGAACGCUAGCGGCAGGCUUAAUACAUGCAAGUCGAGGGGCAGCGGGAGUAGCAAUACUUGCCGGCGACCGGCGCACGGGUGCGUAACGCGUAUGCAAUCUACCAUUAACAGAGGGAUAGCCCCGAGAAAUCGGGAUUAAUACCUCAUAAUACUAUUUUGUGGCAUCAUAAGAUAGUCAAAGCUGAGGCGGUUAAAGAUGAGCAUGCGUGACAUUAGCUAGUUGGUGAGGUAACUGCUCACCAAGGCGACGAUGUCUAGGGGUUCUGAGAGGAUGAUCCCCCACACUGGUACUGAGACACGGACCAGACUCCUACGGGAGGCAGCAGUAGGGAAUAUUGGUCAAUGGGCGCGAGCCUGAACCAGCCAUGCCGCGUGCAGGAAGACGGCCUUAUGGGUUGUAAACUGCUUUUAUCAGGGAAUAAACCUAUCUACGAGUAGAUAGCUGAAGGUACCUGAAGAAUAAGCAUCGGCUAACUCCGUGCCAGCAGCCGCGGUAAUACGGAGGAUGCAAGCGUUAUCCGGAUUCAUUGGGUUUAAAGGGUGCGCAGGCGGAUUAAUAAGUCAGUGGUGAAAUUCAACAGCUUAACUGUUGACCUGCCAUUGAUACUGUUAGUCUAGAGUAUAGUUGGAGUGGGCGGAAUGUGUCAUGUAGCGGUGAAAUGCUUAGAUAUGACACAGAACACCGAUCGCGAAGGCAGCUCACUAAACUAAAACUGACGCUCAUGCACGAAAGCGUGGGGAUCAAACAGGAUUAGAUACCCUGGUAGUCCACGCUGUAAACGAUGAUUGCUCGAUGUUGGCGAUACACAGUCAGCGUCUGAACGAAAGUAUUAAGUAAUCCACCUGGGAAGUACGUUCGCAAGGAUGAAACUCAAAGGAAUUGACGGGGGCCCGCACAAGCGGAGGAGCAUGUGGUUUAAUUCGAUGAUACGCGAGGAACCUUACCUAGACUUAAAUGUAGAUUGACCGUAGGGGAAACCUUAUUUUCAGCAAUGACAAUUUACAAGGUGCUGCAUGGUUGUCGUCAGCUCGUGCCGUGGGGUGUCAGGUUAAGUCCUAUAACGAGCGCAACCCCUAUUCUUAGUUGCCAGCAUGUAAUGAUGGGGACUCUAAGGAAACUGCCUACGCAAGUAGAGAGGAAGGUGGGGAUGACGUCAAAUCAGCACGGCCCUUACGUCUAGGGCUACACACGUGCUACAAUGGUAGGUACAGAGGGCAGCUGCACGGUGACGUGAUGCCAAUCUCCAAAGCCUAUCUCAGUUCGGAUCGAAGUCUGCAACCCGACUUCGUGAAGUUGGAUUCGCUAGUAAUCGCAUAUCAGCCAUGAUGCGGUGAAUACGUUCCC